Molecule: ribosomal RNA, 465 nt
Filed under: uncultured Klebsiella sp.
Lineage: Bacteria; Pseudomonadati; Pseudomonadota; Gammaproteobacteria; Enterobacterales; Enterobacteriaceae
Description: bacterial SSU rRNA
Rfam family: Bacterial small subunit ribosomal RNA
Source: RNAcentral
CCUACGGGAGGCUGCAGUGGGGGAUAUUGCACAAUGGGCGCAAGCCUGAUGCAGCCAUGCCGCGUGUGUGAAGAAGGCCUUCGGGUUGUAAAGCACUUUCAGCGGGGAGGAAGGCGGUGAGGUUAAUAACCUCAUCGAUUGACGUUACCCGCAGAAGAAGCACCGGCUAACUCCGUGCCAGCAGCCGCGGUAAUACGGAGGGUGCAAGCGUUAAUCGGAAUUACUGGGCGUAAAGCGCACGCAGGCGGUCUGUCAAGUCGGAUGUGAAAUCCCCGGGCUCAACCUGGGAACUGCAUUCGAAACUGGCAGGCUAGAGUCUUGUAGAGGGGGGUAGAAUUCCAGGUGUAGCGGUGAAAUGCGUAGAGAUCUGGAGGAAUACCGGUGGCGAAGGCGGCCCCCUGGACAAAGACUGACGCUCAGGUGCGAAAGCGUGGGGAGCAAACAGGAUUAGAUACCCUUGUAGUC